Long non-coding RNA from Pseudopipra pipra, 292 nucleotides. RefSeq lists it as uncharacterized. The transcript is spliced from 2 exons. Lineage: Eukaryota; Metazoa; Chordata; Aves; Passeriformes; Pipridae. The record is from RefSeq and is a predicted model, not a curated record.
UUGGCUGGGGCAUAAAGCCAUGCCAGCCUGGUGUGGCAGCGCUCUGGCAGGACUCCCCUUGCUCUGCACUGCACUGCACUUUUUCCAGGACUGACUGCUGCGUCCAUCGGUCUUGCCACAUGGGCUGACACUGGUGUAGUGAGAGAGCAGCAUGUGCAGGUCCUUCACUGCACACUGUGCCCUGCCCUGAUCCGCUUUGCUCCGCAGCACGGAAACCACCCAGCUGCCCAGUCAGAGUUACAAAUGCCCCGGGUCCCAGCUGAGCAAAUAAAAAUGGUUUGCUACAAUUUUA